Long non-coding RNA from Lucilia sericata (common green bottle fly), 1020 nucleotides. RefSeq lists it as uncharacterized. NCBI's taxonomy places the organism in Eukaryota, Metazoa, Arthropoda, Insecta, Diptera, Calliphoridae. The transcript is spliced from 3 exons. The record is from RefSeq and is a predicted model, not a curated record.
AAUAUAAUAAUAGUGAUCUUAAUAUAAUAAAUGUAUUUUUAUGAUGAUAUACAUAGAAAAAAUAUAUGUGUAGAUCACAUAUGUUAUUUUUGCUUUUUACAUCGAUGUUUCUUCUGAAGAAAUCAUCACUUUUUUAUCAGCUGCUUUCACACAAAAAUAAAAACAUUUACUUUGCUAUUUAACUUAAUACAAUAAAUAUUUAUAAUAAAUAUAAUGUUUAAUAGCAAAUAUCCAAUUGAUUUAAAAGGCUGCAAAUUAUAUAAAACAAGCCAAUCCUCCACGCUAAAAACAAUGGCAACUGGCCACAGGGAUUAAGUUGUGGUUUACAAGUUUAAAAAGGGCCCACACAUCGGUUGAGCUACGUAUCUUUACCGACUUUUUGUCUUCAAAUGCCAAUUUGCCCAUAAUAUCUUCGGCUCCGAUUUGCUCAGGGACAAUAUGUAGCCUUCGUAAUGAUGUUAUUGACUGACUUCAAUAGCUGUGGUAAAUCUUCCUUGUAAGUUAUGCAAGGAAUUGGCCCGAUUUGGUUGAAAUUUGGCACACAUAAAGACACCUGAUGGCAUUGCAAUGUUAUGUUCGAAAAAUCGAAAUUAAAUAGUAAAAAUUCGGAGUUAUGUUAGUAUUUUGUUGCAAAUUUUAAUUGAUUUUUUUAAAUACUUCCUGUAGCUCAAAUAUCUGAAAUUUGAAAUAUGUAUAUGGAUGUAGACAUCUGAUAACAAUAUAGUGUAAUGUUCGAAUUUUAAAAAUUUCAAGUUAUAUCGAAAAAAAAAUAUUUUAAAAAUGUGUAGACCUUGUGGUUUGGAAAAAUCAAAGCAAAUUUUGAAAAAAUCAAUUUUUUUUUGAAUUUUCUUGGUUUGUGCUAAAACUAAACAAAAACUGAAACAGUUAAUAAAUUAUAUAAUACUUAAAGCUUGUCCUAAAAGUAAAGUAAUUUUUAAAAUAAACUUAUUUUUAAAUAUAAACAAAAGUUUGAUUUAUGUAUACAUAUUAUUGAUUACGGUAGCUUAAAAAGCCAAAUAG